Molecule: long non-coding RNA, 798 nt
Filed under: Pongo abelii (Sumatran orangutan)
Lineage: Eukaryota; Metazoa; Chordata; Mammalia; Primates; Hominidae
Description: lincRNA
Source: RNAcentral
AUAGAUCAUUCACCUCCAUACCACCUAAAAGAAGAAAGUUAAAGGCAGCAGUAUAUUUAUUUGUUGAGGGUUGUCACCAUGCUCCCUUUCCUUGCUGUGGGUGAGUGGAAGGAAGCUGCAAGAGGACCACUCACAGAGCUUGGCAUAUGCCCAUUAGUAUUUGGAGGAGGUAGCAACUGGUACCUGAUGCCUACCUGAAAAUGUCUAAUGGGAAAGAUCUGGCCAACCACUCUGAAGGCAGAGCAAGAGGAGUGUUCUACAUUCAGAGAAAGCCACUCUUCUACCAAAAGCAAGGACAAGGCCCCUAGGCAGAAGGACUUGCCUUGUCUCAGAUGAGACUUUGGACUUGGACUUUUGGGUUAAUGCUGGAAUAAAUUAUGACUUUGGAGGACUGUUGGGAAGGCAUGAUUUGUUUUAAAAUGUGAAAGGGACAUGAGAUUUGACAGGGGCUGGGGCUGGAAUGACAUGGUUAGGGUUUGUGUUUCCACCUAAAUCUCAUCUUGAAUUAUAAUCCCCAUAAUCCCCAUAAUGCCCACAUGUCAAGGCAGAGAUGACGUGAAGAUAAUUGGAUGAUAGGGACAGUUUGCCUCAUGCUGUUCUCACGAUAGUGAGUGAAUUCUCACAAGAUCUAAUGGUUUUGUAAGUGUUUGGUAGUUCCUCCUGCAUUCAUUCUCCUUCCUGCUGCCUGUGAGAAGGUGCCUUGCUUCCCCUUCGCCUUCCACCAUAAUCGUAAGUUUCCUGAGGUCUCCCAAGCCAUGUGGAACUGUGAGUCUAUUAAACCUCUUUCCUUUAUAAACU